This 253-nucleotide ribosomal RNA is filed under the name uncultured bacterium. Its description in RNAcentral is "partial 16S ribosomal RNA". It matches the Rfam family "Bacterial small subunit ribosomal RNA", at positions 524 to 776 of the family's 1533-position model. RNAcentral also lists the same sequence under 1 other name. The record is from RNAcentral.
UACAGAGGUCUCAAGCGUUGUUCGGAUUCAUUGGGCGUAAAGGGUGCGUAGGUGGUGGGGUAAGUCGGAUGUGAAAUCCCGGGGCUCAACCCCGGAACUGCAUUCGAAACUGCCUUGCUCGAGUACUGGAGAGGAGACUGGAAUUUACGGUGUAGCAGUGAAAUGCGUAGAUAUCGUAAGGAAGACCAGUGGCGAAGGCGAGUCUCUGGACAGUUACUGACACUGAGGCACGAAGGCCAGGGGAGCAAACGGG